AUGGCGUCGGCUGUAUCGUCGUGUACAUUUGUAUUUCUCGAAGAAGGAAAAUUGGCAUAUACACGUGCCUUGAGCUCGCACUCGGACAGAGGCCGUCGACGAGCAGGAAAAGAAAAGGUAAAUGGAAGUAACCGCCGGCCGGCCGCUCUAUACUUUGGGCGCGGAUGGAGUUGGCGUGGUUGGAGGUUUCAGGUCUUCUACCUGGCGUAUGGUGAAAGCGGGCGCCCUGGAUCACCAGUGGCGGGGGCGGUGGGAGGAGCACCGUUGGGGUUGGAAUCCAACAGCGGCGACGACGACUCGGCUGCAGCCUCGGCGGUCGUGCUAGUCGCUGCAUCCGGAGAGGCGGCAGUGGGCGGCGGCGAUGGAGAAUCACCGGCAUCCUGUUUCUUGCUGCUGCUCCUGCUGGGUGUCGGGGAAGACGGUGGCUUCAGCCCCUCGUACCUGCGACGCCGUCAGGAAAUUAAUGGAUCCAUCAGAGGCCGAAUUCUUCACUCGGAUGCCAAGGAUGUAACAUCAGUUGGUUCACUUACGCCGCGUAGGGUGAGAGCGGCCGCGGCUUUGCAGCAGCAGCGGGAGCGGCCGGAGGAGGUGGAGGAGGAGCCGGAGCAGCUGGUGCUGGUGCCGGUACAGGUGCAGGGGGCGACUCCUUCAGCGCCUGACCGGUGGUGCCGCUGCUAA
Molecule: ribosomal RNA, 678 nt
Filed under: Triticum aestivum (bread wheat)
Lineage: Eukaryota; Viridiplantae; Streptophyta; Magnoliopsida; Poales; Poaceae
Description: partial small subunit ribosomal RNA
Source: RNAcentral